This 460-nucleotide ribosomal RNA is filed under the name uncultured bacterium. RNAcentral's name for it is "partial 16S ribosomal RNA". It matches the Rfam family "Bacterial small subunit ribosomal RNA", at positions 338 to 795 of the family's 1533-position model. The record is from RNAcentral.
CCUACGGGUGGCAGCAGUGAGGAAUAUUGGUCAAUGGACGAGAGUCUGAACCAGCCAAGUAGCGUGAAGGAUGACUGCCCUAUGGGUUGUAAACUUCUUUUAUAUGGGAAUAAAACGUUCCACGUGUGGGAUUUUGUAUGUACCAUAUGAAUAAGGAUCGGCUAACUCCGUGCCAGCAGCAGCGGUAAUAAGGAGGAUCCGAGCGUUAUCCGGAUUUAUUGGGUUUAAAGGGAGCGUAGGUGGAUUGUUAAGUCAGUUGUGAAAGUUUGCGGCUCAACCGUAAAAUUGCAGUUGAAACUGGCAGUCUUGAGUACAGUAGAGGUGGGCGGAAUUCGUGGUGUAGCGGUGAAAUGCUUAGAUAUCACGAAGAACUCCGAUUGCGAAGGCAGUUCACUGGACUGCAACUGACACUGAGGCUCGAAAGUGUGGGUAUCAAACAGGAUUAGAUACCCUUGUAGUC